UGUGCCCCUGUUUGCAAUCCAGGUAUAACAAUUUCUUAUGAUCAUCUAACAUACACUCGAACUUUUUUGACUCCUUCACAUUCUCGUAGUCUUCCUUUGUAGUUCGCAACACCUGACCUAGAUCAUCGAUAGGACCUUCUACCUUGCCCAUCUUUUCUUUAGCCUCACCCACUGAAGCAUCUGCAAAGGCACCUCCUUGAAUCCAGUCAGAAAUGUUGUCAUCUUCU
RNAcentral lists this long non-coding RNA (227 nucleotides) under Setaria viridis. RNAcentral's name for it is "long non-coding RNA (SVIR_LNC005735)". The record is from RNAcentral. Lineage: Eukaryota; Viridiplantae; Streptophyta; Magnoliopsida; Poales; Poaceae.